RNAcentral lists this long non-coding RNA (583 nucleotides) under Panax ginseng (ginseng). RNAcentral's name for it is "long non-coding RNA (PGIN_LNC009204)". Lineage: Eukaryota; Viridiplantae; Streptophyta; Magnoliopsida; Apiales; Araliaceae. The record is from RNAcentral.
CUCUAUGGUAGCCAUGAAUGUGAAGUUUCUUCCUUCUUAUGAUUGAUAUAACCUCAUGAUCCUGAAUCUUAUUACUUGCUUCUUUUUUGUCACUAUAAGGCAAAAACAAUCCACCACCAACAGCACCUGAAACCAUCUCCUCCUCCUCGUUGGGUAGAUCCACUGCUCAACUCUGGUACAGGUUUAGUAAGACCUGCCAGAAACAUAGAAUAAAGCCAUUAGGCCGAGACAACAACACUUGAAAAUAUAUUAAUGGGCAUAGAUAGACAGGCUAACAUUUUCCUCUCAAGGUUUCCCAGCAUUAAAAGAACGACCAUUUUCUUUCAAUUUUUGUAUUUCCCUUCUUUUCUCUCUCAGUUUCUAAUAAGUAAAAGUGUUUUAAGCGCUUACUUUCAUUUCUCUUUCUCUAGUAUUCAAGGCAACCAACCAUAGAAAUAAAUUCACACUGAUACAAACAGAAUAAUCCAAGUAUUAGAGGUCUACCUAAAUAACAAAUUUUAUAGGUACAUGCCUACAUGACAAUGAACUGAUAAAAAAAAAAUUAGCAUACUUGUGCAGCGGAAACAAGAGCAUGGUGGUAUAA